UGGGCGGUAUCGAAAGAACUGCACCUUGUUGAUUUAUUUUAUAAAAAAAUAGUUCUGCCUGGAUCCGGUAGCGGACUGGGACAGAGGG
This is a regulatory RNA element of 88 nucleotides. It matches the Rfam family "pan motif". The record is from Rfam.